GCGCCCAUAGCUCAGUGGUACGAGCACGCCCUUGACGUGGGCGGGGUCCUCCGUUCGAUCCGGAGUGGGCGCA
RNAcentral lists this transfer RNA (73 nucleotides) under Candidatus Berkelbacteria bacterium. RNAcentral describes it as "tRNA-Val". It matches the Rfam family "tRNA". From Rfam's summary of the family: Transfer RNA (tRNA) molecules are approximately 80 nucleotides in length. Their secondary structure includes four short double-helical elements and three loops (D, anti-codon, and T loops). Further hydrogen bonds mediate the characteristic L-shaped molecular structure. tRNAs have two regions of fundamental functional importance: the anti-codon, which is responsible for specific mRNA codon recognition, and the 3' end, to which the tRNAs corresponding amino acid is attached (by aminoacyl-tRNA synthetases). tRNAs cope with the degeneracy of the genetic code in two manners: having more than one tRNA (with a specific anti-codon) for a particular amino acid; and 'wobble' base-pairing, i.e. permitting non-standard base-pairing at the 3rd anti-codon position. Lineage: Bacteria; Candidatus Berkelbacteria. The record is from RNAcentral.